UCUUCAAGUUCACAGGGUAAAUAAUUUGUGUUGGGGUGCCAUCGCGUGGCCAUUCUUGGGCAUUGCAACCUACCGAUUAAUUUCUCUCCAUUCGCGCUCGUUAAAUUUGGCCGAACUACUCAUUCCUCCUUUUUGGGGCCUUACAGGAACCGGCUUGGCGCUUGGUGUGUCGGCGCGCCCUCCUGUGGCCAAAUCUCGAUACUGCACCCUAACUACUUACAAGACCCUGAUUCUUCACACCACUAUAUGGAAUAUUAAACUUAUAAUUCUAUAUAUUUUUAACGUGGCAAAAGAUUACGCAGUUCAUUUAUUUCUCGUGAAAUAAAACCUGUUCCACUUGUUUAAAUUAAGAAAUUACGGGUGCAAUGGAAAUGGGCCGGCAGGCUGCAGUGCCCGCUUCUGGCCACCAGAGAGCACUCCAACGAUAGGAAUGAGUCACCGAACUACAGUCGUGCGGGUAAAAAAAACUACAACUCCCAUACUGCUCUGCGCGGGAAGCCCGGGCGAAGCUAACGCCUUAUUGUGGGGUGCCCUCCUGCGGCACCAACCCAGCACUCCACCGUGAUCGCUUGUUUCCUUCAACCAGUGAUUCCUGGCAAGGAAUUUCAAAUUAUACAGCCCCGCAAGGCGCUUUAAAAAAUAAAAAUAAGGAAUUUAUGGCGGUAAUGGAGGCCGGCCGGCAGACUGUAGUAUCCCCUUUUGGCCACUGGAGGGCACUCCAACACAAGGAAUGAGGAGCCGUAAGGGCACGUUGGACGAGAAAACUACAAUUCCCAGGGCGCUUCGCCCGCCGACCUGGCAAGAAGGCCGGCGCUGAUUGGUGCUUCUUCCGCAGCCAACAGGAACGAGGGGACGGAAAGCGAGCGGGGCCGAAAUAAGAGGGCGGCUGCGCUUGCGCACUUGGGGGGUACCUCCACGGAGAUGUGGGACGACGUGGAGACCUCGGCUGUUGACGCGGAUCCUCGUGAGGGACUAGCGCCUUUGGUGUCCUCGCAGUGAGGAGUCUUCGGAGACUGUGGCAGACCGAAGCUCUCAACCUGGCCGAAUAUCAGCAAUUCUGGGGCGCCAACCCUCAACCUCCCCCAACUUGCCUUUGCUGCUAUUUCAGGGACUCCGGGAGCGGCUGCCGGAAGCGGCCCUUCUCCUACGCUGGGCGCGAAACUGCAGAAAAGGGGGGGGGGGAAGAGAUCUGAACCAAAAUCUAAACAUACUAAAUCCCUUUUUUCUUCCCGUUAAUGUAACCAUAAAGCAAAUUAUUACUUUAUCCCUCCCUUUUCUGCAAGGAGCUGAAGGUGCAGGCCACGCUCUCUAUUACACCAUUUUAUCCACUCAAAACAGUGCCAGGCCAGUCGAGGGGCCCAGUGGCCCAAAGACACACAGUUCAGUUUCAUGGGGAUCUAAAUCCACCACUUUCCAGACCAAACGCAACCCAUUCAAAAGCACUCUGAGGCAAAGGACACACACCACCACAACAGCAAGCUCUAUUGGGCAAAAUCUACCACUUUCCAUGCCCUAAAAGGCUUCAGGGCCAAGAAACCUCAAACUCUCCCAAGCUCAAGUCUUUGGGCUUUGCCUUCUGGGACCCUUCUGCCCUCCCCUCCCCCCUCGCUUCCAGACAGUCAUUUUUCAGUCCACUAGCCACACUCUUCAGUGGACCACGAAAACCGCAUCCCUCCUUUUACAGCCACACGCUGAGACAGGAAGCCCCGCAGAAUGAACACCCCAGCACCCUGAUCGAAAAAGAAAUGAAGAUAGCUUUAUUGAGCUGAGUGGCACAUGGCAGGUUGAUGUCCCCU
This is a long non-coding RNA of Pogona vitticeps (central bearded dragon), 1796 nucleotides long. The record is from Ensembl. NCBI's taxonomy places the organism in Eukaryota, Metazoa, Chordata, Lepidosauria, Squamata, Agamidae.